UCCGGUGCGCCAAGUAUUGCCAGCAGCGAUGCCUGCUUACGUCUUCCUCGUGUGAUUCGCCAAGGCCGUGUCCUCCUCCUGAGAUAAGAAGAGCGACAAGGAGGUGGUCAGUCCAGCUCCUGCAACCAACACAGGUCGUUGCCCCUUUUGCCACAACGGCAGCAGCACAAACAUUAGUGUGGUCGUCCUCAACCAGUUCCUCACGCGGCCUCCGCGCAAGCCCUGCUCAUUUCAACAGGGGCGUGGGGUUCAGUUCGACGGUGACGACCCAGGCAGCCGGCCUUCGCAUAACGAAGUGGUGCAGUUUGAUCUUGUGUGAAUUGGAAAUCCCCUUAUGCUGAGUGUGUCAGUACAACCCUACGCUACAAGGCACGCGUACAUCCAC
Molecule: long non-coding RNA, 385 nt
Organism: Triticum dicoccoides
Lineage: Eukaryota; Viridiplantae; Streptophyta; Magnoliopsida; Poales; Poaceae
Exons: 3
Source: RefSeq, a predicted model, not a curated record